CCUACGGGAGGCAGCAGUGAGGAAUAUUGGUCAAUGGACGCAAGCCUGAACCAGCGAUGCCGCGUGAAGGAAGACGGCUCUAGGAGUUGUAAACUGCUUUUGUAAGAGGGUAAACGCAGAUACGCGUAUCUGUCUGAAAGUAUCGUAAGAAUAAGGAUCGGCUAACUCCGUGCCAGCAGCCGCGGUAAUACGGAGGAUACAAGCGUUAUCCGGAUUUAUUGGGUUUAAAGGGUGCGUAGGCGGUUGGAUAAGGUAGUGGUGAAAUCUCGAGGCUCAACUGCGGAAUUGCCUCUGAUACUGUUCGACUUGAGUGUAGUUGCGGUAGGCGGAAUGUGUGGUGUAGCGGUGAAAUGCUUAGAGAUCAUGCAGAACACCGAUUGCGAAGGCAGCUUACCAAGCUGCUUCUGACGUUGAGGCACGAAAGCGUGGGGAGCAAACAGGAUUAGAUACCCCAGUAGUC
RNAcentral lists this ribosomal RNA (460 nucleotides) under uncultured bacterium. Its description in RNAcentral is "partial 16S ribosomal RNA". It matches the Rfam family "Bacterial small subunit ribosomal RNA", at positions 338 to 795 of the family's 1533-position model. The record is from RNAcentral.